Frieseomelitta varia is the source of this 3497-nucleotide long non-coding RNA. RefSeq lists it as uncharacterized. The record is from RefSeq and is a predicted model, not a curated record. The transcript has 4 exons. NCBI's taxonomy places the organism in Eukaryota, Metazoa, Arthropoda, Insecta, Hymenoptera, Apidae.
CAGUAACAAAGAACGUAAAACAUUUUAACUCUUCUGUCAUUCGUUUUGAACUGUCGAUAUAUAUUUCGAUUGCAUUUCGUUAAUGAAAAACAGCGACACCCGUGAUACAAGCGACGAAAUUAAAAUUUGCUCGCGUGAGCAGAGAAACGACGUUAGCAAAGAAUUAGAAGUGUCAAAGUCGUCAUGAUAAUAAAUCAGGAAGACGAAAACAUUUGGCGCCCCGGGUAGCUGCGCCAAUGGGUUGGCAAGUACCCCCUUGCUCUCCCUGUACGGAAAGUCUCUACCCACCAUGCCACGCUAUGCCGUGCUGUGCUGCGCUGUGCUACGGUUUGCCGUGCCAUCCUUAACCGCGUAGCGUGGCUAGUUGUUUCUUUUCUUUAUUCCUUUGUCGGAAAGUCGGUGGCGAGUCUCGUUUUUAAGAGAAGAGUAGAGGGGAGGAGGCAAAAGGAAAACGACAACCGCUCAGCAGGGGCUGAGGAAGGAAUGGUUGGACCUGGGUUAGAGGGAGGGAGGACCACGCAGCAAGGAGAAUAAAACUGAACUGUCUUCCUAUCGUCUGGAAAGAGAGAAAGAGAGAGAGAAAGAGAGAGAGACGAUUGCUCCUUUGCGAACGCGACACCAGCCAGCUUUUGCAUGGUCUCGUGCCCAUUCGAAUCUGUCGUUCGGCCUAGCGUCCGUUUUGGUUUACGUUAUUAUGUAAUGUUAUGUGCGAAUAGCCGCGUGUACUUACAUACAUGCCACGCUGGGUAAAAUGCUGUUGCAUCGCUAUUAAAGAAAAUUGCCCACUCGCGGCGGUGAAUAGGAAACGUCAUGCAUUCUUCGACACGGUCAUCGACGUAUUGAACUGCCCGUUCGAUCCGAGAACAUAAAUUCUGUUACACAUCACUCCAUCGGGAGUUGCUAGUAGUAAAGAGAAUAGGAUAGCGAGAAAAGUGGGAUAUUUCGUCAAAGUGCUUUUCUGUAAGGUGUGAAAUAUAAACAGGGAAUCCAGGCAACUUUAGAUGCUGUUCUAGCGAUUAUUCGAGAUAAAGAGCUUCACUUUGAGAGAGUCCGACAAAACUGCCAUUUGAACUUUAAAAUCGUUUCGGAAACGAUCAAUUCAUCUCUCUCCGACUAUCCGAAGAAAAACAGGAAGGGAGAAGAUGAAGAAGAGAAAGGAAGGAAUAAAAGAGGGAGGAGGGUCCACGACCGGAUCUUAUAAUUACGCUAAUUAGGCAGUAACGCGUAAAAAAAGCGGCGCGAGUAUUUAUCGCAAGGUAUCGUGGAAGGUAUACGGAGGUCGGCAAAGGAGGACGUCGUACGACAGAAUACGACAGGAAAGGCUAUAAUACAGUUUUGCCGCGAGCAUCAGAAGCAACAGCAGCAGUCACGGCGGUAAGCAAGCAAGCAGCAACGCCGGUGUCGAGAAACACAGGCAACUCUGACAUCGGUUUCGUUGCAUGUUCCUCGUGUCUGACAGAUGUCUAAUUUGAAAGAGAUCCAAAUGUAGGAAUGCGUUCUUAAAAGCUUAAACCAAAGACUUUGUAACAAUAAACGUGUUUCAUCGCACGUAUUGAAAUAACUGAAGAUUGAAGCAAAAUUGAUGAUAAGUAUAUUAACUAAGAAGAAUCAUUUGCUUUUAACGCUAAAUCUAUCGUACGCUUGAAGAUAAAUUUUGAACAUGUGUUUGUAUUUGCGAACAAUUAAAUGUUCAUGCAACUGUAAAUGUAACUAUAUAAAUAAUUGUUUUUAUGAAGCCAGAUAUCUAGCGGGGCCAAAAUGAUCGAUUUUAAGUUCCUAAGUAAGCAGGCCACACUGUGCAAAUUUAAACAUUGAAAUACAAAAGUAAGCACAAUGAUGAAUAAAAUUGAAAUGAGAGAUAAAAAGAAAGUAUCAAUUGAACGCAACGUUGACUUCAGAUUACUAAAUUAGUCAUACUACUCGUAUGUGAAGAAUCUAUAACAACGUACGUACAUAUGUACAUAUAUAUCAUUUCGUUCAAUUUUAUAUAUGCCCCGACUGACUGAGCAUCUUCUAGGAUUUAGAACAUCACUCUCCUUCGUGAAAAUUAGCCAGUAGUACUACAUGCUAUGGGUAUAUAAGACGCGGCAACGCGUUCCUAGUCAGAACAAGGGAUGGUGGUAGUUCAUUCAAGCGGAACUGUUAUCGUUGGUUUCCCGUCCUAUUUUUCCGCGAAUGUGUAAUCAGCGACCAACAAACCCGGACUGAACGUGUGUGGUUGCUACCCGUCAGAGAUUUUUCUCUCAUCAGGCCAGAACAGCCCGGGACUGAGCGUUUAUGGGUACCUUUACUGGAUGGAUUCGUCGGAAGGGGAGGAUCGUGGAAUAGGGGGGUUGGAUAGCGACGGUAGGAGCGACGCGAGGGGGAAGGAGAGCGAGAGAGAGGAAAGAGAGAGCCUCGGUUGGAUUACGGGCCGGUCGUGCCGAGGCGGGCGUGGGGAAAAGGAGGAAGCGGUCGGCGCGUUUGAUCUCAGCCGCGGGCGCCGACAAAGCGUUCAUCCACUCUCCUACAACGGCGUGCUGUCUCGCGAGCAGGAGCGCGACAAUGCUUGCCAAGCAAAGCACGAGAGUGAGACAAUGGAUAAAGCAAGCCAGCCGGUAAGGUAGCAUAAUACAGAGUAAGAAGGAAGAGAAGCGGAAAGAGAAAGCUUGAGCAACGCCGGACGAAUGGUGCGCCAUGGCGUGAUGGGGGAAGGGAGAAAAACACAGAGAGACCGAGGAACACAUGGAGGGACCGAGAGAAAGAGCCCUUCGGUCGGACAGAGAGGCUACAAAUGAAAAAAGAGGAACCAAGACUAACUAAGAGAAAAGACGAAGAACGGGAGAGUAACCGCGGACGAGAGAGAAGGAGACCGAUAGGAAACAGAGAUGAUUCGUAGGAGAAAGAGAAAGAGUUGAAGGAAGGGAGGGAGGUUGGAAACGUCCCGAGGAAGGGGGAAAAGAUCCGAAGAUCCGUUCCACGAUCUGGUGCUGUCGCGCUCGCUUUAGCAUGGCACUGCCACUCCCUUGCGCUGGCUACGCCAGCUUUGCUAUUAAUAAAUAAUGCUCCGUGAUCCGCAUUACAACUAAAGCGAUUCGUUCCGCUCUUGCCUCUUUAUUCCCCGAUAUUUCCGAACGCUUGGACAUCCGCAAAGUCCUCUGUCCCUUCCGUAUCGCAUCGAAUCGACGAUCCUUUUUAGCGAGUCCGAGCUGAAUGAACCCUGGCCUGCCUCUGUUCUGGUCCGACGAAGCUCGAUACGACUUUGAGGAACCUUAUGCCUUCUUCUCGGUCGAGUUACAAGAGACGCGCAGGAGAGGUUCUAAUUUAGAGUAUUAGAGAAGUAACGAUGUGCGAGCCAUGGCGAACAUGGUUCACAGAAACACGAACGCGUCCAUUUGAUAGAUCACGAAACUAGGCUGUUUGCAUUAUUUCACAUUUAUGAUCCACACGCAAUGAUGAUGACGGCCAUCAAGAGACAAUGUAUUAAAUUUAAUGCGAAUAAAACAAUUUUCAGAUAA